This is a long non-coding RNA of Callorhinus ursinus (northern fur seal), 218 nucleotides long. RefSeq lists it as uncharacterized. Lineage: Eukaryota; Metazoa; Chordata; Mammalia; Carnivora; Otariidae. The record is from RefSeq and is a predicted model, not a curated record.
GGGCAAAGACACUCCUGGCGUUCCCCGCCUCUCGGCUUGUUUCAAACGCCAGCGCCAUCUUGGAUCACGAAGUAUAAUCACUUCCUUGAGAGUAGAGGGUGUUUCUGACACAUGUUAGUAUCUUUCAGUGCCAGAAGAAUAGGGGCUUACUGUCAGGAUCAGGAUCACUUUGGGUAGUCUCCAGGGGGUGGCAUGGCAAGAAAGAGAAGGCUGCAGAG